This 253-nucleotide ribosomal RNA is filed under the name uncultured bacterium. RNAcentral's name for it is "partial 16S ribosomal RNA". It matches the Rfam family "Bacterial small subunit ribosomal RNA", at positions 524 to 776 of the family's 1533-position model. The record is from RNAcentral.
UACGUAGGGUGCAAGCGUUGUCCGGAAUUAUUGGGCGUAAAGAGCUCGUAGGCGGUUUGUCACGUCGGCUGUGAAACCCUGGGGCUCAACCCCGGGCCUGCAGUGGGUACGGGCAGACUAGAGUGCGGUAGGGGAGACUGGAAUUCCUGGUGUAGCGGUGAAAUGCGCAGAUAUCAGGAGGAACACCGGUGGCGAAGGCGGGUCUCUGGGCCGAUAUUGACGCUGAGGAGCGAAAGCGUGGGGAGCGAACAGG